Molecule: ribosomal RNA, 673 nt
Filed under: Bacillus sp. W044
Lineage: Bacteria; Bacillati; Bacillota; Bacilli; Caryophanales; Bacillaceae
Description: SSU rRNA
Rfam family: Bacterial small subunit ribosomal RNA
Source: RNAcentral
CUGGCGGCGUGCCUAAUACAUGCAAGUCGAGUUCAUGAUGAGGAGCUUGCUCCUCUGAUUUAGCGGCGGACGGGUGAGUAACACGUGGGUAAUCUGCCUGUAAGACGGGGAUAACUCCGGGAAACCGGGGCUAAUACCGGAUAAUAAGAGAAGAAGCAUUUCUUCUUUUUGAAAGUCGGUUUCGGCUGACACUUACAGAUGAGCCCGCGGCGCAUUAGCUAGUUGGUGAGGUAACGGCUCACCAAGGCGACGAUGCGUAGCCGACCUGAGAGGGUGAUCGGCCACACUGGGACUGAGACACGGCCCAGACUCCUACGGGAGGCAGCAGUAGGGAAUCUUCGGCAAUGGGCGAAAGCCUGACCGAGCAACGCCGCGUGAGCGAUGAAGGCCUUCGGGUCGUAAAGCUCUGUUGUUAGAGAAGAACAAGUACGAGAGUAACUGCUCGUACCUUGACGGUACCUAACCAGAAAGCCACGGCUAACUACGUGCCAGCAGCCGCGGUAAUACGUAGGUGGCAAGCGUUAUCCGGAAUUAUUGGGCGUAAAGCGCGCGCAGGCGGUCUCUUAAGUCUGAUGUGAAAGCCCACGGCUCAACCGUGGAGGGUCAUUGGAAACUGGGAGACUUGAGUGCAGGAGAGAAAAGUGGAAUUCCACGUGUAGCGGUGAAAUGCGUA